Molecule: ribosomal RNA, 252 nt
Filed under: uncultured bacterium
Lineage: Bacteria
Description: partial 16S ribosomal RNA
Rfam family: Bacterial small subunit ribosomal RNA
Source: RNAcentral
UACGAAGGGGGCUAGCGUUGCUCGGAAUCACUGGGCGUAAAGCGCACGUAGGCGGAUUGCUAAGUCAGGGGUGAAAUCCUGGAGCUCAACUCCAGAACUGCCCUUGAUACUGGCGGUCUCGAGUCCGGGAGAGGUGAGUGGAACUGCGAGUGUAGAGGUGAAAUUCGUAGAUAUUCGCAAGAACACCAGUGGCGAAGGCGGCUCACUGGCCCGGUACUGACGCUGAGGUGCGAAAGCGUGGGAGACCAACAG